Molecule: transfer RNA, 72 nt
Filed under: Candidatus Bathyarchaeota archaeon
Lineage: Archaea; Thermoproteati; Candidatus Bathyarchaeota
Description: tRNA-Glu
Rfam family: tRNA
About the family: Transfer RNA (tRNA) molecules are approximately 80 nucleotides in length. Their secondary structure includes four short double-helical elements and three loops (D, anti-codon, and T loops). Further hydrogen bonds mediate the characteristic L-shaped molecular structure. tRNAs have two regions of fundamental functional importance: the anti-codon, which is responsible for specific mRNA codon recognition, and the 3' end, to which the tRNAs corresponding amino acid is attached (by aminoacyl-tRNA synthetases). tRNAs cope with the degeneracy of the genetic code in two manners: having more than one tRNA (with a specific anti-codon) for a particular amino acid; and 'wobble' base-pairing, i.e. permitting non-standard base-pairing at the 3rd anti-codon position.
Source: RNAcentral
UCCCAUAUAGUGUAGGGGUUAUCAUACCGCCCUCUCACGGCGGAGACCCCGGUUCGAUUCCGGGUAUGGGAG